This 491-nucleotide ribosomal RNA is filed under the name uncultured bacterium. RNAcentral describes it as "partial 16S ribosomal RNA". It matches the Rfam family "Bacterial small subunit ribosomal RNA", at positions 28 to 507 of the family's 1533-position model. The record is from RNAcentral.
GAUGAACGCUGGCUACAGGCUUAACACAUGCAAGUCGAGGGGAAACGACGGGGAAGCUUGCUUCCCCGGGCGUCGACCGGCGCACGGGUGAGUAACGCGUAUCCAACCUGCCUCUGACUGAGGGAUAACCCGUCGAAAGUCGGCCUAAUACCUCAUGGCAUCGUCUGCGGGCAUCCAACGACGAUUAAAGAUUUCAUCGGUCAGAGAUGGGGAUGCGUCUGAUUAGCUUGUUGGCGGGGUAACGGCCCACCAAGGCGACGAUCAGUAGGGGUUCUGAGAGGAAGGUCCCCCACAUGGGAACUGAGACACGGUCCAAACUCCUACGGGAGGCAGCAGUGAGGAAUAUUGGUCAAUGGGCGAGAGCCUGAACCAGCCAAGUAGCGUGCAGGAUGACGGCCCUAUGGGUUGUAAACUGCUUUUAUGCGGGGAUAAAGUGAGGGACGUGUCCUUCAUUGCAGGUACCGCAUGAAUAAGGACCGGCUAAUUCCGUG